This 256-nucleotide ribosomal RNA is filed under the name uncultured bacterium. Its description in RNAcentral is "partial 16S ribosomal RNA". It matches the Rfam family "Bacterial small subunit ribosomal RNA", at positions 524 to 784 of the family's 1533-position model. The record is from RNAcentral.
UACGUAGGGUGCGAGCGUUGUCCGGAAUUACUGGGCGUAAAGGGCUCGUAGGCGGCCAACUAAGUCAGACGUGAAAUCCCUCGGCUUAACCGGGGAACUGCGUCUGAUACUGGAUGGCUCGAGUUGGGAGAGGAUGCGGAAUUCCAGGUGUAGCGGUGAAAUGCGUAGAUAUCUGGAGGAACACCGGUGGCGAAGGCGGCAUCCUGGACCAACACUGACGCUGAUGAGCGAAAGCCAGGGAGCAACGGGAUAGAUA